AUACGGAGGGGGCUAGCGUUGUUCGGAAUUACUGGGCGUAAAGCGCACGUAGGCGGACCGGAAAGUCAGAGGUGAAAUCCCAGGGCUCAACCUUGGAACUGCCUUUGAAACUAUCGGUCUGGAGUUCGAGAGAGGUGAGUGGAAUUCCGAGUGUAGAGGUGAAAUUCGUAGAUAUUCGGAGGAACACCAGUGGCGAAGGCGGCUCACUGGCUCGAUACUGACGCUGUGGUGCGAAAGCGUGGGGAGCAAACAGGAUUAGAAACCCUAGUAGUCC
Molecule: ribosomal RNA, 274 nt
Filed under: uncultured bacterium
Lineage: Bacteria
Description: partial 16S ribosomal RNA
Rfam family: Bacterial small subunit ribosomal RNA
Source: RNAcentral